Molecule: ribosomal RNA, 54 nt
Filed under: Rhizosphaera kobayashii
Lineage: Eukaryota; Fungi; Ascomycota; Dothideomycetes; Dothideales; Dothideaceae
Description: partial 18S ribosomal RNA
Source: RNAcentral
CUUGGUUCAUUUAGAGAAAGUAAAAGUCGGAGCAAGGUUCCCGUAGGUGAACCU